Molecule: ribosomal RNA, 456 nt
Filed under: Pseudomonas sp. K8-46
Lineage: Bacteria; Pseudomonadati; Pseudomonadota; Gammaproteobacteria; Pseudomonadales; Pseudomonadaceae
Also listed under: 1 other name
Description: bacterial SSU rRNA
Rfam family: Bacterial small subunit ribosomal RNA
Source: RNAcentral
GCGGAUGAAAGGAGCUUGCUCCUGRAUUCAGCGGCGGACGGGUGAGUAAUGCCUAGGAAUCUGCCUGGUAGUGGGGGACAACGUUUCGAAAGGAACGCUAAUACCGCAUACGUCCUACGGGAGAAAGCAGGGGACCUUCGGGCCUUGCGCUAUCAGAUGAGCCUAGGUCGGAUUAGCUAGUUGGUGAGGUAAUGGCUCACCAAGGCGACGAUCCGUAACUGGUCUGAGAGGAUGAUCAGUCACACUGGAACUGAGACACGGUCCAGACUCCUACGGGAGGCAGCAGUGGGGAAUAUUGGACAAUGGGCGAAAGCCUGAUCCAGCCAUGCCGCGUGUGUGAAGAAGGUCUUCGGAUUGUAAAGCACUUUAAGUUGGGAGGAAGGGCAGUAAAUUAAUACUUUGCUGUUUUGACGUUACCGACAGAAUAAGCACCGGCUAACUCUGUGCCAGCCGCGC